CAGGCAUGGGAAUGAUGAUGUGUGCGAGUUGGGGAUGAAAACGGUCGGAAAAAUGCUCAAACCAUUUCCGUUACCAUAUUUGAGAGAGAGAGAGAGAGAGAGACGCACAGAGCGAGAGAGAGAGAGAGAUGGGUACAGCACUUCCCAGAAAGCCAAACACCAUCUCUGUAUAUCAAGUUUCAUCAUUGGGCUUCAAAUCAAAGCAUGGCACCUACGUAGUGCUAAACCUUGGUGAAACUGCCAAUAUCAAUCAAAUAAAACAAUGAUCCAAUUCAGAAUCGCAAAUACUGGCCAAGCAACAACACAAAGGUACUAGAGAGUAGAAACACAAUAUGAUAUUGAACAGUUAAUAAAAACAAACCUACACAAGCGACAACAAAAAUGUACUAAAAGAAAUGAAGCACUCAUUAUGUGAUAUUAUAACAGAAAAGAAUGCAAAUGAUGAGUCUCUCGUCAAGCCAACAUACCCAAACCUGCUGGAAACAAAAAAUAGAAAGUGUCCAUUUUGAUUAACCCCUUAACACUUGUCCAAGUCCAGGAAUCGCUAACUCAACAAACCGUGGCCAUUCAACAUUACCCACAUAAAUAGUUUCUUUGCUGCCUAGGUGGAGGGGCCAUACCAAAACUUAUAAUUAUGUGCUAAGCAGUGCUGACUCAUCAACAUGUUCACUUGUACACAUUUCACCAGCAUGGUUUUGGGCAAUGGGGAGUUUGUAAUGAUUUUGAUAGAUCAAAGAUGUUAAACAUGCGAUAUUUGUAGUUUUGGGUUGCCGCGAAUGUUCAGGUAAAAUGGCCAAUAGUACAAUAAAAAGAACAUUGACAAAAAAACUUACAACUUGUGCAUGUGCAGGGAAACUUUAUUGAUGGCAAGUCUCUCUGAUGCAUUUCAUUGAUGGCAUAUAUGGUCAGUGAUUUGCCCGCUAAAACUUAUGCAGUACCUGCAUUCCAAACAGAUCCUUCGAUGACAAAUUCCCUACUCGUGCAUGGAUUUUGAGGGAGGAGAGAAGACCAAGUGCCAUCUAUGCAUAUUAAGUUUUUAUUAUUAGGCAAUGCAUUUAGAUAUGCUACUACCAAGCAAAGCAACAUUGUAAAAAUAUGGAAAUAUGAACCUGCUGGUAAUCAAGACCAUGGCUAUCGCAGGCUCUUGAUUCAUCGUAUUAUACAGGAGGUAAUAAAAAAAGGUGGUAAACUAGAUGAGAGAAGGAAUAUCGACAAGAUAUGUUAACACAAAAAAGAGAUAAACAAUGUAGUGGCAUAAGUUGAGGUAUUUUGAAUCUACGAGGAAUAGACAAGGUGGAGAUAUUUGAAUUGUUCUGAACAUCAAUCACUACAUCUGCAGCCAUGAUACAUUAAGUGUGUACUUGUUUGCACGGCAAUGGACCAACUCCGUCAGAUAGUAAAUUUCUGGGAGUUACAUCAGGCUAUUAAGGAGACACAGAGUCUGAGAGGCAAGCAACAAAACUAAAAGAUCCAAACAAAAAGAUUGAAAGGUCGAUAUUACCAAAUGGCCCUCUGAUUUCACAACUUUGUUUUUCAUCUUAGGCUGGCUAAUGCGGCAGCCCUCAAUGCUGGCACUGAAGCAUGUCUCAAGGGAACGGCAGAACUGGAUGAUGAUGAUCGAUGACGACGACAACGACGACAACUGCCACAGCAGUGGCAGGAGCGGAGGAGGACGAAGAAGAAGAAGAGAAAAAGAAAGAAAGAGAGCUACUUUUCCAAAGCAGAAGCAGCAGCAGAAACCAUGGUCCUGCCAAUUGCGCGGACCGACAUGUCAGUGUUUCUCCAACCCCUGAGCAUGCUUCAGCGCCCAGAUCAUUGAGGAGCCAACGCCACACUAGCCAUUUUCAGCUCAACCCAUUGCAGAUGCAAAGGGCAACCCCAUUAGAGCUCAAGUCCGAGCCGAUCUAUCUAUCCAUCCAUCCAUCAACCAAUCGAUUUAUCGAUUCACGAGGGUCUUAGUCACAAUCAUCAUUGGGCCAAUGGCGAAUCCAGGCAAAAACGAGAGAGAUCAGAGGCACCAUGCCACAGUGAAAACGAAACAAGCGAAAUGCAUAAGAGACAGGUGCACCAGAAAAAGGACCAUCCAUGGAUGGACUCAUCUCAAACGAACUGGCAAACGUGCCAUAAGAAAAAUAAUGCCCUCAGAACUCACAUACACAGUAUCCAUUGAUGGUGCAGGAGACAGCCUCAAAUUGUGAGCAAGGAAAUGUGAGGCUGAAUGAAUUCCUGGAAUGAUGAUGGAAGGUUAAGCUAGCUAGCUACACAUGCACAAUCAUUGGAAUGAACCAUUCCAAAUGAUGACAUGUACGAGAGAGAGAGAGAGAGAGAGAGAGGAGAGAGAGAGAGAGAGAGAGAGAGAGAGAGAGAGAGAGGACGGAUGGAUGGAUACAGAUCAUACAGCACUUCCAGGAAGCAAAACACCAUCUCUGUAAAUCAUGUUUCAUCACUGGGCAUUUAAAUCAACUAAAUCAAAGCAUGGUACCUGUUAUUCUACUGCAGAAGGUACUAAAUUUAGGUGAAAUUGCUAGUCUGAAUCAAAUAAAACAUUGGUCCAAUUCAGAAUCAAAUCCAGAUGCUCUGCAAAGGUGGGGAAACAUAUAUGACUACGUGGUCUUGAACAAGGAAAACUUCAACCAAGAGAAAAGGAGGGGAAAUCGUGCAAGUGAGAAUUUUCCUUUUUUAAAAAGGAAAGUCAUAAAAAAGAGGGGAAGUCACGUUCUUGAUUGAUUGUAUGAAGGGGAUUAAGAAAGGAAGCAAAUGAGUUAUUUCUCAAAAUAUCAUGGCUCAUAAGUGGAUAGUGAUUUGGUUUUAUGAUAUGGACGACUGUCAUGAAGUCCAAAAGGUACCACUUCAAUACACUCUGGUUUCUUGAACAAAAUAAAUAACAUGGCAAUGAAAAAAAUAACAAAUGAACUUAUCACAGUGUAAAUAAAGUAAUAAACUAGUCAAUCUGCAGAAUGAAAACCCUCAGAAGCUCUAGCCUAGAAAAGGUGUCGAACUUAUCACUUGGAGCACAAACACAAGCUGACUUAGAAUAAGUCAAUAAGAGUAUCUAGGAACCGUCAUCUGGGAAGAGUUAAAGAGUCAGCUCUGCUGGGUGUCUAUCAGUUAAAAAUGAGACGAAAAUACUGGCCGAGCAACAAACAGAAAGGUUAGAGUAGAAACACAAUAAACAGUUUAACAGAACAAACCUACACAAACCACAGCAAAAAUGUACUGAAGGAAGUGCAAAUGAAAAGCCUCUCAUCAAGCCAACAUAUUCAAACUUGCAGGGAACAAAAUUUUGAAAGUACUAAGUCCAUUUUGAUUAACCCCCUCAACUCUUGCUCAAGUCCGCAAGUUAAAAAACAGUGACCAUUCAAUAUUUGUACCCACGUAAAUAGUUUCUUUGCUGCCUAGGUGUGUUUUGAGUAUGAUGUGAGGAGCCAUGCAAAUUUUUAUUGUGCUAAUUGAGCAUUUCACCGGGUCCACUACGUCCAUUUGUACGCAUUUCACCGGAUUGGUUUCAGCAAUGGGAUGAGUUGCAAUAACUUUGAUAGUUCUUGAACAUGUAGUUUGGGGUUGACCAGGAAGUUGAGGUGGUAAAAUGGGCAAUAGUAGACUAAAAAUAUCGAAAAAACAUACAGCUUGUGCAUUUGCAAGGAAUGUUAUGCCCUCAAGACUCACUUAUGCAUUUCAUUUAUGGCAACAUAUAUGGUAUCUGAUUUUCCCGCUAAAACUUAGCGGUAC
Molecule: long non-coding RNA, 3729 nt
Filed under: Oryza sativa (Asian cultivated rice)
Lineage: Eukaryota; Viridiplantae; Streptophyta; Magnoliopsida; Poales; Poaceae
Description: long non-coding RNA (OSAT_LNC001006)
Source: RNAcentral